RNAcentral lists this unclassified non-coding RNA (334 nucleotides) under soil metagenome. RNAcentral's name for it is "partial contains 5.8S ribosomal RNA, internal transcribed spacer 2, and large subunit ribosomal RNA". The stretch from base 1 to 120 matches the Rfam family "5.8S ribosomal RNA", at positions 35 to 154 of the family's 154-position model. The record is from RNAcentral.
GAUGAAGAACGUAGCGAAAUGCGAUACGUAAUGUGAAUUGCAGAAUUCAGUGAAUCAUCGAAUCUUUGAACGCACAUUGCGCCUGCCAGCACUCUGGCAGGCAUGCCUGUUCGAGCGUCAUUUCAACCAUCAAGCCCUAGGCUUGCGUUGGAGCCCUGCGGCUGCCGCAGGCCCCUAAAAGCAGUGGCGGGCUCGCUAUCACGCCGAGUGCAGUAGAUUACUCUUCGCUCAGGGCGUGUGGCGGGUUCCAGCCGUGAAACCCCCUACUUCUCAAGGUUGACCUCGGAUCAGGUAGGAAUACCCGCUGAACUUAAGCAUAUCAAUAAGCGGAGGA